UACGAAGGGUGCAAGCGUUACUCGGAAUUACUGGGCGUAAAGCGUGCGUAGGUGGUUUUUUAAGUCCGUUGUGAAAGCCCUGGGCUCAACCUGGGAAUGGCAGUGGAUACUGGAAAGCUAGAGUGCGGUAGAGGGUAGUGGAAUUCCCGGUGUAGCAGUGAAAUGCGUAGAGAUGCGGAGGAACACCGAUGGCGAAGGCAGCCCCCUGGGCUGACACUGACGCUCAGGCACGAAAGCGUGGGGAGCAAACAGG
RNAcentral lists this ribosomal RNA (253 nucleotides) under uncultured bacterium. RNAcentral describes it as "partial 16S ribosomal RNA". It matches the Rfam family "Bacterial small subunit ribosomal RNA", at positions 524 to 776 of the family's 1533-position model. The record is from RNAcentral.